This 2280-nucleotide long non-coding RNA is filed under the name Homo sapiens (human). RNAcentral's name for it is "HSALNT0132368". Lineage: Eukaryota; Metazoa; Chordata; Mammalia; Primates; Hominidae. The record is from RNAcentral.
CAGAGGACAGGCCCCUCCCUGUAAGCCCCUCACAGCACUUCUUGGAUUCCUUUAGAGAGAACUUGAUCAACAUGGCAACAGCUGAAUGGAAGGGAAUUUGGAAAGUGUCAUUGUAACUCUGGAUGGCUGUGUGCCUUCUUCAUUUCAGAGUUUAGUCCCUGACGGAAGCAGGAGACACAACCAGCAGACUCUGCCAUAGUCUUCGCAUAUAUAUCCCAUGUGUCGCCUCUAUCCUCAGUCCUUGGAAAGGUAUAAGAAGCAUGCUGUGAUAUUGAGUCAAUUGGUUGCCCAAUCACAGACAUCUUUCACUGACAGAGUAACAGGUGUGUGGGCUUUGAGCAGUCGCUACACCUUCCCUCUUCAGGCAUGAUGAGAGGAUUCCUGCAGCGUUUUGCAAGAGGGUCCACACUACCUUUAUGAGCUGUAACACUCACCGUGAAGGUCUGCAGCUUCACUCCUGAAGCCAGCGAGACCACGAACCCACCGGGAGGAACGAACAACUCCAGAUGCGCCGCCUUAAGAGCUGUAAUACUCACCACGAAGGUCUGCACCUUCACUGCUGAGCAAGCGAGACCACGAACCCACCAGAAGAAAGAAACUCCUAACACAUCCGAACAUCAGAAGGAAGAAACUCCAGACGUGCCAUCUUAAGAGCUGUAACACUCACCGUGAAGGUCUGCAGCUUCAUUGUUGAAGUCAGUGAGACCAAGAACCCACCAAUUCCGGACACAGAAGGACGAGGAAUGAAGGGUGUUCCGGUGGGUACAUGUUGGCUCCUUUGCUCAGCUCAAGUGACCUCUGAAGCCUGUUCUACCUUUCACAGUGGGAAGAGAGGAAAGGGUCACUAGAGUCAUGUGUAAAAUGUGGCUCCAUCUUCUCAAAUCAGGGAUGAAUGCCUGCCUAUUUCUGGAUAUGUCAGGGAAGGCAGACACAGAGAGUUAGAGAAAGGGAAAGAGAAUGAGACAGAGAGAGACAGAGAUAAGAAGGGGGAGAGGGAGUGAAAAAGAGAGAAGGAGAGGGUAAGGGAGAGGAAGGGAGGGAAAGGGGGAGAGAGAGAAAGAGGGAGGGAGAGAGAGAAACAGAGGAGACAGGGCUGAGAUACCAGACAGUGGAUUUAGAGUUCCUGGUUCCCACAAGGCUCUUUGUGUGAAUCAGAACAAGUUUUUCCCACUGGACAGCUGCAUCCCUAUGGGUCCAUGGCUUUCCCACUGGGCUGCAUCUUGAUAUGAAUUAGAAAAUGUCAUCUUUAAGUUGGAGAUUCUCCACCUCAGCACUGUGGACAUUUGGGCCAGAUAAUUCUGCUUUGGUGGGCUGUCCUGUGUAGAAUGUUUAUAGUAGCAUUCCUGGCCAUUACUCACUAGGUGCCAGUAGAAUGUAUAUCAAAUUGUGACAAUCAAAAAUGUGUUCAGGUAUUGCCAAGUGCCUCCUGGAAGGCAAAAUUGCUCCCUGUGAGAUCCGCUAACUUAAGUGAACAUAGCUGCGUGCAGGAGUGCAUGGUUUGGAGAAAGGAUUGUAGGUGGGUUUUUAGUCGUUCCCCAACGACUUUCUGGGCUCCAGUUGCUUCCUUGGCCAGGUACACUUGUGCAGUGCACAAUCUCCACAACUGUACAUAGCAGUCCUGCUGGUUCCUGUGCAUUCCUGUGUCAUGGCUGAAUCUCUUCCACUGGGUUCUCUGGGACACUCUUGAGUCCUUAAAGCAAAUGUGCCCUUUAUACAUUGUCUGUCUUGACUUUAGUUUUAUUUGUAGGUGAACAGCCAUUGUUCUCUUCUUAUCCCUCCAUCUCUGUUUGUGUUUUAUCAGAAAUUUCAAAAGAUGCUACUCUGUUUAUGUUAGCACAAGUAGCUACUGUGUGUGUUUCGAAACUUUUUGCAAGUGUGAAAGUGUUUGGUUUGAAAGGUGGUACCUGUAUUCAACACUCAUCAAAUCUCUUCUUCAAGGGCCUUUUCUUUUUUCUCUGACCUUUUAUUUUUGGACCAAACACCUCUAAGACACCAUAGAGUGUAUCAGUUUCCUUACAAAAAUGUGGCAUCGUUCACUUCAUUAACGCUGUUUGAUCUUUGACAAGUGAUAAAGGUGUGAUAUGAAACAUAAUUUCUCAUAACUUGAAGAUACUCCAAUUAGCAUAUAUGAGAUGGGAAAAAAUAAAGAGGGUAUUUUCUAAUUAAUUGAAAAUCAUGCUUAGAUUUAGAAUGGUGUUUCCCAAACUAUCAGGUCUGUAAGUUCACAAGAAAGAAUCACCACCAUUUUUAAGUAACAAAAAUAAAAUAAUAUUUUGAACA